RNAcentral lists this unclassified non-coding RNA (166 nucleotides) under uncultured Cortinarius. Its description in RNAcentral is "sequence contains ITS1". Lineage: Eukaryota; Fungi; Basidiomycota; Agaricomycetes; Agaricales; Cortinariaceae. The record is from RNAcentral.
UUGAAAUAAACCUGAUGGGUUGCUGCUGGCUCUCCAGGGAGCAAUGUGCACACCUUGUCAUCUUUAUAUCUCCACCUGUGCACUUUUUGUAGACCUUUUCCGGUCUAUGUUGCUUCAUUUUACCCCAAUUGUAUGUCAAUAGAAUGUUGUGCCUUUAUAAUAUAUA